UACGGAGGGUGCAAGCGUUAUCCGGAUUCACUGGGUUUAAAGGGUGCGUAGGUGGGCAGGUAAGUCAGCGGUGAAAUCCCCGAGCUUAACUUGGGAACUGCCAUUGAUACUAUCUGUCUUGAAUACCUUGGAGGUGAGCGGAAUAUGUCAUGUAGCGGUGGAAUGCUUAGAUAUGACAUAGAACACCAAUUGCGAAGGCAGCUUACUACGCAGAUAUUGACGCUCAUGCACGAAAGCGUGGGGAUCAAACAGG
Molecule: ribosomal RNA, 253 nt
Filed under: uncultured bacterium
Lineage: Bacteria
Description: partial 16S ribosomal RNA
Rfam family: Bacterial small subunit ribosomal RNA
Source: RNAcentral